GCCAGAAGUGCAAGUACAGCAAUGUACUCAGCUGACUGGUGCUCAUCAGUCGAGGUCUUGACCAU
Molecule: ribosomal RNA, 65 nt
Filed under: Deinococcus indicus
Lineage: Bacteria; Thermotogati; Deinococcota; Deinococci; Deinococcales; Deinococcaceae
Description: partial 23S ribosomal RNA
Source: RNAcentral